Molecule: ribosomal RNA, 253 nt
Filed under: uncultured prokaryote
Description: partial 16S ribosomal RNA
Rfam family: Bacterial small subunit ribosomal RNA
Source: RNAcentral
ACGGAGGGUGCAAGCGUUAUCCGGAUUCACUGGGUUUAAAGGGUGCGUAGGUGGGCAAGUAAGUCAGUGGUGAAAUCUCCGGGCUUAACCCGGAAACUGCCAUUGAUACUAUUUGUCUUGAAUACUGUGGAGGUCAGCGGAAUAUGUCAUGUAGCGGUGAAAUGCGUAGAUAUCGAGAGGAACACCUGCGGCGAAGGCGGGUUGCUGGGCUGACACUGACGCUGAGGCGCGAAAGCCAGGGGAGCGAACGGGA